RNAcentral lists this ribosomal RNA (262 nucleotides) under uncultured bacterium. RNAcentral's name for it is "partial 16S ribosomal RNA". It matches the Rfam family "Bacterial small subunit ribosomal RNA", at positions 514 to 775 of the family's 1533-position model. The record is from RNAcentral.
GCCGCGGUAAUACGAAGGGUGCAAGCGUUACUCGGAAUUACGGGGCGUAAAGCGCGUGCAGGCGGUUUCGUAAGUCGGACGUGAAAGCUCCUGGCUUAACUGGGAGAGGUCGUUCGAUACUGCGGGGCUUGAGGUCGGGAGAGGGACGUGGAAUUCCCGGUGUAGUGGUGGAAUGCGUAGAUAUCGGGAGGAACACCAGUGGCGAAGGCGACGUCCUGGCCCGCACCUGACGCUGAGACGCGAAAGCGUGGGUAGCAAACGG